Long non-coding RNA from Mirounga angustirostris (Northern elephant seal), 906 nucleotides. RefSeq lists it as uncharacterized. The transcript is spliced from 3 exons. The record is from RefSeq and is a predicted model, not a curated record. NCBI's taxonomy places the organism in Eukaryota, Metazoa, Chordata, Mammalia, Carnivora, Phocidae.
CAGGAUGUGGCACACAGCUCAAGCUCAACCAUGAACUAGCCUCCCUUUGAGAUCGCUCUCUUCACCUGGCAACCGGGGGCCCCAGCAGAGCUCAGAGAGAAGAAGAAGUGGCAUUUUGGCAUCCAUUUUGCUCAAGAUGCUGAAGGCAUCGCGACAAACUGCCCUUUGCUACCGAGGCCAAGGGAACUUGGGGCAGGAAGGACUUUACCCAUCGGGCUGCUGUCAGUUGAGGGCAAGGAGACUCUCAAAGACCAUCUACAACAAGACCCAGUGAAAUUUAUCUCUACUGGUAAAAUUUCAGCAUUCUGAAUAUAUUAUGCCACUCCAGUCUGGCCUGUAAAGUGUCUGCAGAGAAAUCCACUGAUAAUCUUAAGGAAACUCCCUUUUAUGUUACAAAUUACUUUUCUGUUGCUGCUUUCAAGAUUCUGUCUUUGACUUUAAACAGUUUGACUAAAAAAUAAAAAAAAUAAAAAUAAAAUAAAUAGUUUGACUAUAAUGUGUCUCAGGGGGUUUUCUGUGGAUUUAUCAUAGUCCACUUUUAAAAUAUUUUAUUUAUUUAAUUAAUUUAUUUUUUUAGAACGGGUGUGCACACAAGUUGGGGAGCAGGGGCAGAGAGAGAGGGAGAGAGAGAAUCUCAAGGAGGCUCCAUGCUCAGUGUGGAGCCCAAUGUGGAGCUCAAUCUCACAACCCUGAGAUCAUGACCUGAGCCGAAAUCAAGAGUCAGACACUUGGGCGCGUGGGUGGCUCAGAUGGGUAAGCAUCAGCCUUUGGCUCAGAUCAUGAUCCCGGGGUCCUGGGAUCGAGUCCCAUAUCAGGCUCCCUGCUCCUUGGGGAGCCUGCUUCUCCCUCUGCCUCUCUCUCUCUCUCUGUCUCUCAUGAAUAAAUAAAUAAAAUCUUAAAAAAAAA